UGGGGAAUAUUGCACAAUGGGCGCAAGCCUGAUGCAGCAACGCCGCGUGAACGAUGAAGGUCUUCGGAUCGUAAAGUUCUGUUGCAGGGGAAGAUAAUGACGGUACCCUGUGAGGAAGCCCCGGCUAACUACGUUCCAGCAGCCGCGGUAAUACGUAUGGGGCUAGCGUUAUCCGGAUUUACUGGGCGUAAAGGGUGCGUAGGUGGUCUUUCAAGUCGGUGGUUAAAGGCUACGGCUCAACCGUAGUUAGCCUCCGAAACUGGAAGACUUGAGUGCAGGAGAGGAAAGGGGAAUUCGCAGUGUAGCGGAGAAAUGCGUAGAUAUUGGGAGGAACACCAGGAGCGAAGGCGGCUUUCUGGACUGCAACUGACACUGAGGCACGAAAGCGUGGGUAGCAAACAGG
Molecule: ribosomal RNA, 403 nt
Filed under: Verrucomicrobiota bacterium
Lineage: Bacteria; Pseudomonadati; Verrucomicrobiota
Description: Verrucomicrobia bacterium partial 16S ribosomal RNA
Rfam family: Bacterial small subunit ribosomal RNA
Source: RNAcentral